This 627-nucleotide ribosomal RNA is filed under the name uncultured organism. RNAcentral describes it as "bacterial SSU rRNA". It matches the Rfam family "Bacterial small subunit ribosomal RNA", at positions 876 to 1510 of the family's 1533-position model. The record is from RNAcentral.
GGGAGUACGAUCGCAAGGUUGAAACUCAAAGGAAUUGACGGGGGCCCGCACAAGCGGAGGAGCAUGUGGUUUAAUUCGAUGAUACGCGAGGAACCUUACCUGGGCUUAAAUGCAGAACGACCUCCCGAGAAAUCGGGACUUCCUUUCGGGACGGACUGCAAGGUGCUGCAUGGUUGUCGUCAGCUCGUGCCGUGAGGUGUCGGGUUAAGUCCCAUAACGAGCGCAACCCUUAUCCUUAGUUGCCAACAGGUAAUGCUGGGAACUCUAAGGAAACUGCCUACGCAAGUAGUGAGGAAGGUGGGGAUGACGUCAAAUCAGCACGGCCCUUAUGUCCAGGGCUACACACGUGCUACAAUGGUCGGUACAGAGGGCAGCUACCUGGCAACAGGAUGCUAAUCUCGAAAGCCGGUCUCAGUUCGGAUUGGAGUCUGCAACUCGACUCCAUGAAGUUGGAUUCGCUAGUAAUCGCGCAUCAGCCAUGGCGCGGUGAAUACGUUCCCGGGCCUUGUACACACCGCCCGUCAAGCCAUGGAAGCUGGGAGUACCUGAAGUCUGUUACCGCAAGGAGCGGCCUAGGGUAAAACCAGUAACUGGGGCUAAGUCUGUAACAAGGUAACCAAGGGCGAA